AGAUUGAACGCUGGCGGCAUGCCUUACACAUGCAAGUCGAACGGCAGCACGGGGCAACCCUGGUGGCGAGUGGCGAACGGGUGAGUAAUGCAUCGGAACGUGCCCAGUAGUGGGGGAUAACUAGUCGAAAGAUUAGCUAAUACCGCAUACGACCUAUGGGUGAAGCGGGGAUUCGCGAGAACCUCGCGCUAUCGGAGCGGCCGAUGUCUGAUUAGCUAGUUGGCGGGUAAAAGCCCACCAAGGCUUCGAUCAGUAGCUGGUCUGAGAGGACGACAGCCACACUGGGACUGAGACACCGGCCCAGACUCCGUACGGGAGGCAGCGAGGUGGGGUAAUUUUGGACUAAGUGGGCGACAAGCCU
RNAcentral lists this ribosomal RNA (361 nucleotides) under uncultured soil bacterium. RNAcentral describes it as "bacterial SSU rRNA". It matches the Rfam family "Bacterial small subunit ribosomal RNA", at positions 26 to 384 of the family's 1533-position model. The record is from RNAcentral.